RNAcentral lists this ribosomal RNA (783 nucleotides) under uncultured Neocallimastigales. RNAcentral describes it as "partial large subunit ribosomal RNA". It matches the Rfam family "Eukaryotic large subunit ribosomal RNA", at positions 23 to 634 of the family's 3401-position model. The record is from RNAcentral. Lineage: Eukaryota; Fungi; Neocallimastigomycota; Neocallimastigomycetes; Neocallimastigales.
AGAGAGAGACAUGCGCGCAUAUCAAUAAGCGGAGGAAAAGAAACUAACUAGGAUUCCCUCAGUAACGGCGAGUGAAGCGGGAAGAGCUCAAAUUUGAAAUCUUCAAGGUUCUACCUUGACGAAUUGUAGUUUAUAGAAGUGUUUUCUGUAGUGGAGUUUGGUAAAAGUUCUUUGGAAUAGGACAUCAUAGAGGGUGAGAAUCCCGUAUUUGGACUAUUCUUCUAGCGUUGUGAUACACUUUCAAAGAGUCGGAUUGUUUGGGAAUGCAGUCCAAAAUGGGUGGUAAAUUUCAUCUAAAGCUAAAUAUUGGCGAGAGACCGAUAGCGAACAAGUACCGUGAGGGAAAGAUGAAAAGAACUUUGAAAAGAGAGUUAAACAGUACGUGAAAUUGUCAAAAGGGAAGCGUUUGACACCAGUGUUGUUUUCUCGAAAAUCAAUUAAGAAUGGCCUUAUUUUUGAGGUAGUAUUGACCUUAAUAGGCUUGCUUCACUCUUUCUUGUAACUUUCUUAAUGCACUUUUCGGUUAACAAGUCAACAUCAAUUUCUUUUGUUGUAAAAGGGUCAUGAGGAAGGUGGCUUUCUUUUCGGAGAAAGUGUUUAUAGCCUUGAUGCUCUGCAAUCCGGAGAGACUGAGGUCUGCAGCGUAGACUCUUCGGGGUUAGAUACAGUUUGUGCUAAGCUAUAGCUUUUCAUAGACAACUUGUUGACUAUAGUUUAGUCUUGUAGCUUACUCGCUGAUGCUAUUUUACCUACGCUUAGGAUGUUGACAGCAGUAUAGACUGU